RNAcentral lists this long non-coding RNA (1492 nucleotides) under Homo sapiens (human). RNAcentral's name for it is "HSALNT0358965". The record is from RNAcentral. Lineage: Eukaryota; Metazoa; Chordata; Mammalia; Primates; Hominidae.
GUAGAGGUUCUUAGCUACGGAGAUGUCCCUGCCAAGACCUAAAAGCUGGGAGAGAAGGGACACCCAGAAUACUGAGAACUAAGCAGGCCUGGAACAAUGCCAAGGCAGGAUACAGGUUAUCCAUAGUGUGUAAAAUCUACAUGUUUUGGAGCAUAUUUUUAUUCUUAAAAAAUAGUGCUACAGAUUAUGGUGGAUAAUGCAGGUGCCCCACCACAUCCCCUAGCUGCCGUGAAUGUUGACUGCUGGAUAGUAUUCCAUCUACCUUGCUUCUUGCUUCUCUCAUUCUUCUUUUCUUAAGAGAAGCACUUCAACAAGAAUUCUUCUCAGGCUCUGCUUUUGGGGAAAGCAACCUAAGACACAGGGAAUUUCAGCUCCUUGAAUGCUCUUCGUCAAAGAACUAUUCUCCUCUCUCUGAGAAGGUGAUCCUCCUCAACCACAGAGGCAGUUUCAGGAAGAGUGCCCAUGGAGGCUUGAAAAGGAGUGUCACGUCUAGGCAGCCAGAGCACACAUGUUGCUAUCUGGACAAUCAAUGAACUGUUCAUGAUGCUCUCUCUGGCCACCUUCCAGACAGGAAGAAAGAGCAGAGGAUCACUGUGAGAGGAAUUUGAGGAUCAAAUCCUGAAGUGGAUUCCUUGCCUAGGGAUAUCAGUAUCCUUCUGAAGAACGCUCAGGAGAAUGGUACGUGAAGGAGGAGACAGAGCGGAAAACUAUUUUUCUGUAGAGAUGUACCUGUGGUGGACAGAAUUUCUAAAAAUGGCACUCAAGAUUCCAUGCUGGAACCUGUGACUAUGAAAAGAUAUUAUUGCCAUGGCUCUGUUAUGUUAUAUAGUACAGGUGAUCUUGAAAAAGGGAGAUUAUUUGGGUUGACCCAAUCUAACCAUAAGUCCUGAAAUGCACAAAGCUUUCUCUGGUGUGACAGAGUUUCUUUGCUUGACCAAACAUUAGUCAGUCUCUUGAAUCUUCUCCCAGGCCCAUCUAUGCACUUCCUUAUAAAAUCCACUUUUAGCAAGAACCCUGCUUAGUGAAUUUAGCAAGAACUCCUCACCCUCGAUAUCUGACUGGACUCCUCAUCCUCCACCAUCUCCCAGGUGAUGUCUGAACAUCCUGGACUGUCUUCAGCAAGAAUCUUGUUAGGAGUAGAAAGCAGAAGGCAACGUUAGAUGUAAAAAGAAAGACCUCAAAGCACUGUUGCUGGUAUGAAGAUGGAGUACUUGUGCUGCCGAAGAGAACACAACAACACACUCAGAGACAGAGCCCAUAGACAAUGGCACCAGAGGAUCUAGGAGCAGAUUUCACUCUCCCCAUCAAUUUACCUUCCCAUAUUUUCCCACCUUUUGGAAGCCUGAAGAUGCUUUCUUCUUUUUCUUGUCACUAUGUAGGAUUUAUGGCUGUUUGUUAAAAUAUUAUUUAAGCAAGGACCCUAAGCCACUGCCUUGAGAAAGAAAUACUUUUGAACUGAGACCUUAGGAAAGGUCUCAUCAGGAGCAUCAUG